This is a long non-coding RNA of Brassica rapa (field mustard), 14096 nucleotides long. RefSeq lists it as uncharacterized. The record is from RefSeq and is a predicted model, not a curated record. NCBI's taxonomy places the organism in Eukaryota, Viridiplantae, Streptophyta, Magnoliopsida, Brassicales, Brassicaceae.
AGGAUUUAUUUAAAAUAUUUAAAUUAUUUAUAGUUAUUGUAGUUAAUGGUAGGAUAAAAAAUAAAGAGUUUUAUAUAGAUGUUAUAAAUUCUUAUAAAUAUAUUUUUAAAAAUAUUUUCUUUUAAUAAUAUAAAUUUUCAAUCGCAUCUAUAAUAUAUUCUUAUCAAAAAUCAUCAUAACAAUAUAUUUAGAAUAUAUAUAUUUAGAGUAUAUUGUUAAACUAAAGUACACAAAAUAAUCUCUAACAAUAUAUUUAGAAUAAAUUAUUAAACUGUAUGCAAAAUAACUUCGUUAUAAUAUAGUCAAAAUUAUUAGAAGUUUUAGUCAAGGAGAAUCUAUGAUGUAUAAGUUGUGUAGAUAAAUAUUUCCGAAAGGUCAACAUAUUCAUUUGAAAAAUCACAUUUCAAUCAAAGAAAAAAUGAUAGAGUGAAAUCUUUGGUCAAAAAAUAAAUGAUAGUGUAAAAUGUUGCAAAGUUGGUGGCACCAAGGAACAAUAUAGUUUUGGUAUUUAAAUUUACCAGUCACGUUUUGGUUAUGGAUUCAUGAGACAUGUUUUUAUAAGAUGAUAUUUUAGUAUAAUAAAGUUAUGUAUAAUUUUUUGGUGUAUCAUAGUAAGUUGAGUAAUAAAUAAGAGCAUUGAUUAUUUUAUAGUUAGAGAAAUAUAAGGUAAUUGAUUAUUGCAUAGUUAAAGAAAUAUAAGGUGAGACUAAAAAAAUAAUUAAGUCUAAUGAAAUGUUCCAAACAACUUGUAUAAGUAGAUUUAUGUAGACUCCUUCCCUUUUAAUAGAAUAGAUAAUAUCACUUAUUAUAAAUUAUGCUAAUUUAUAUUUAUUUGUCUUAUUUAUAAAUAAGUGAUUUGAAAUAGAAUCACUUAAUUAUGUGAUACAAUUUAAGUGAUUCAAUUUACUUAUUUAUUUGUAGUGAAUUAUUUUCCACUUGAUUAACACAACAAAAUCUGAAAUAAGAGUACAUAUUUUUUUCACUCAAAAUAUAUCGUGAUAUCAAAUUACACUCCUAAUGUAUCUAAAUAAAUAAUAUAAAUUAUUGAUUCCAGACAUAGAUAUCCUAAUAAAAUGUUUUCAAUGCAAACAUUUAUUAAUUUUCUGUCAUGAUAUCUACGAAUAACACUUUGAAAUCUCUUACAAAGUGAUUGAAUGUAAGCCCAUGCUCUAUUUUUUGCAUAUUUGAUUACUAGAAAGCUUCCACAAUAUGGUAUUUACGAUCAAAGCUUGAAUUUCCAGAAUAUAGCUUAGUCUUCAAUUCAAGUAUAUUGUGUGAAACAUAGAGUCUCUGUAGAUUUGAUCCCUAAGUAUUACAUCGCACCUGAAAUUAAAGAGUUGAUCACUGGUAAAUUUGAGCAUAUCAAAUUUUGGUGUUGUUUUUGUGGACUCUAAUCACCAUUAGUCUAGGUGUUUUUGACUGUAUUUUUCUUUUUAGUUUACUUACUUUUUUUUGUGUGUUUCAAGUGCAUGCAUCGCAAUACUAGAAGCAACAAGGAAAAAGAGCUUUUGGCCUUGUUCAACCAGGAACUGUCGGAGUUGGAACGUACGAACCACACAUACAAGAAAAGAGUAUCGAGUGACACCCCUCAAGCAUCAAACAAUACCAUUUGUGCAGAAGCAUCAAUCAACACUACUCAGGAAUUGAUCGACACGCUACUUGAACGAGAAGAGAUGGUUAAUACGAUUGUGUUAAUGGCUGAUGCAGAUGGAGUCCUACGAGACCAUUAUGGUCUUGCGCAUAAUGUGGCUAGGCAUAGGAUUGAUGAUGCUAGGAAUGUGAUGCAUGCUGAUAUUUUUGUAGCUGAGAAUGCUAAGAAUGUUGGAAUUUUUUUAUAAGAGAACAUGGUGAGAUUAAAAUAGGCCCUAACAGUUCUAUUUGAAUAGGUUUGUGAUUCGCCCCUCCUACAUUCUGGACGAACAACUUUGAGCUGAAACCGCUUAUUACACGCUUGUGGGACAACAUCUCUUUUGUAGUCUUCCCAUGAGAAUCCCAUUGACUAUCUUAAGAAGUUAUAAGACUUGGUAUCUUGCAUCAAGUGAAAUGGUGUCUUUGAAGACUACAUUUUCUGCAAACUCUUCCAGUACUCUCUAUCUGGGUAUCCAGCUUACUAGCUCAAGCAGUGCAGCCAUGAUCCUUGACCAAAUAGAAGGACACUAAGAUCACGUUUAUAAAAAAAUGUUUAAUGAUGCAAGGUCUGAGAUAUAAGGAAUAAGAUCUCCAUGUUUUCUCAGGGGCAUACUUAAGCAUUCAAGACUUCUUGGAUCAGAUUCAGAUCUUACAAAGGGGACUCUCCACACCAUGUACUACUUAUAGGUAUCUUCAUUAGAGGCAUUAAUUGGAGGUAUCUAUGGCUCUGGAUGAUGCGGGUGAAAGAAACUUUGAAACUAGAAGCCCAGAAGAAGCAAUAAGGCUGAUCGAGAACUUGAUGUAUAGCCAUAGCACCAAGAAUGCAAAUCUGGAUAAGAUGAAGUUAGCUGAAGCGGAUGGUACUCAGAUCGAUGAGGUGAAAGAGAAACUGGAAAAUUUUCAUAAUCUCCUUGUGGCAAGAAGGAAGUUUAUUUUGCUACAGAAUUUGAGACCUUUGAACUCUGUGACGAGAUUACUAAAGAGGAUGUGAACUUCGUUACUGGAACUGGUUUUCAGGUUCAUAGGUUUGGUAAUCAACAAGGGAAUAUCAACUUCACUGAAAAUGAUCAGAGAGGUGGCUUCACAAGUAAUCAGAAAGCUUCUAAUUACACCCAUAACUCUCAGUACCAGAAGCCCUCUCAGGUAAACAUCAGCUUCACAAGGAACUAUGGAUCAUCUAAUUACCAAAAUCCUUUUACAAGUAACUCAGAAAAGCAAGAUAGAAGGCAUGCUGAAAAAAAUCAUGGACAAUCAGCAGCAACAAAGCGUGGGAAGUUAGACACCACCCAAGAAUUUUGUUAAUGCUAUUAUGUUGGGAAGUGAAGAACAACACGAAAAUUUGGAGAAAAAACUGGAGAAAGAAGCUGGUUGCGUCAGCCCGACUGCAAUGUCGAUCGACACCAAUCAUCAUUGUCGGUCGACACCCUCUCAUGCCCGCAAAUAUUUGAGUUUUUUCAUAACAAAAUUGAUCAAGAAAUGCUUACUCGACCCUGAAGGGUUAACACUAAAGAAAACUAUCGAUCAAAACUUAUCUGGAAUGAACACGGAGGCUUUAACAAAGGUUUGUGACGAUCGACACCCAUCUAAUGUCGAUCAACACCCAUCUAGUGUCGAUUGACACCCAGAGAUAGAGUAGGCAUCGGUUAUUGUGACCGAUCUGAAUCCUAUUGCGCUAAGGGUUAAGUCCAUGGUGUAGUACAUACCCAUAUAUUUUAGAUGGUCUAUCAACGCAGAAGAAUUUGUUGGUUUUCACAAGCGAGUGAAGAGAGUUCUUGAAGGUCUCUUUUGAAGAUGCUUAGUACUAAUAUCAGUUUAGUGGGUUCUUCAAGAAUACCAGAGAAGCCAUGGAAGAGAUUGAACUUUUGUUCAAUGAGAUUGUAAGUGCACCUAAAAAGGUCAAUAAAUUGAAAAAGCUGGAAGAUCCUGAGAAGUUUGCAAUUCCCUGCACUAUCUCAUGGAAUGAAUCCCUAGAUGCCUUAUGUAAUAUAAGAGAUGCACUUAGCAACACGCCUAAGGUUAUAGCUGAGAAACUUGGAGUUACCACAAAACCUUCUCAAAAUGGGUUGGCUUUUCCAUACCACUUUAGAGGAACUUCAUGUGGCUUAAUCAAAGAUUGAUGAGUAUGUCUCCUAUAAUCAUGUCCCACCAAACAGAAGUACACAAGUAUUUUCUUACACUGGGAUAGCUGAUGAUCGUCAACAUGCAUUUGUCUCUUAUGUAAACUGAAGUGAGGCAGAAUCACAUAAGUCUGGGAGAAAAAACAAGAAGAUAGUGAAGAGCAAAAGGAUCAUGGGCGAUCCUCGGUUGGCACUGGUUGUUAAGAGCUUCUCAGAUUGUGUCAUGGAGUACAAAAUGCACAUUAAAGGAUUCUUACAGCUAUUCAUGAAAGAUAGAGCAGCUUUCACAUCAUUGUUGAAAGACAAAGAAGAGGAUUAUGUGAAAAGUUUCAUGGGAAGUGUGUUGUAGAGUAAGGUAUUGGACGUUGGAAAUUUUUUUAAAGAAAGUUACCGACCUCAUAUUGACUAAGUCUGGUCUCCAAAGUCGAGCUAAUGAGUAUAAACAUUCGUUUGGUGGGAAGCAAUUCACUGGUAAGUUUACUGUUUACUUAAAAAAAAGUAAGUGUCGUAGAGAAUAUUUCACUCCUUAGGGUAAUUUGAGUGGUAUCAAAUUUGGCGCCAUUGCCGGAGAGCUUUGAUCGCCAUUAGAUUUAGUAUUAUUAAUUCUUUUCUUUUUCUACCCCCAUUCUGACACAAAAAUUUUUUCUUGUCUUUUCAGGUACAUGCCCAUCAGUACAAGAAGCAACAAGGAAAAACAUCUGUUAUUCUCAGAAGAUCCUUCUCACUUGGAACGCACGAUCCACAAAGAUCAAUGUUCCACAUCGAUCGACGCAGCAGCUUUCAUGUCCACCAAUUCUUGCACCCACCCAUCGACCGAUACCCGACCUUCAUCGUCGAACGAACUACCUCGUUCGACAUCGAUCGAUCCUACACCGCGUACAUCAAUCGAUCCUCAGUCGCGAAACAUGGUUGCGAUUGUUAAUCUCAGACAGGAUGAUAAUGGAGACCUGUAUGACCAGGAUGGUCAUCUGCGUAAUGCAACAGGUCAGAAACUAAACGCUCAGUGGAAUGUAAUCCCUGAUGCUGAUGCUACAGGAGCUGCUCAACCUGUAGAAGAGGCUGCUCAACCAAAGGCACUGGCUGACUACAAUCAUCCAGACGAGUACUACACCAACAGAUCAGCUAUUAGACUUCCAGAGAUUCAGAAGGAGAAUUUCGAGCUGAAGCCUCAGUAGUACACACUCGUGUUGCAGCUACCGUACUCUGGGUUACCGCACGAGCAUCCUAUAGACCAUCUGGAGAGGUUCGAGGAACUUAUCGUUGCUAUUCCUAUGGAUGGAGUCCUUGAGGACUACCUAUUGUGCAAGCUCUUCAAGUAUACUUUGACAGGAGAAACGAUGCACUGACUUAAGCAGCUAACCACAAGAUCUCUAACAUCAUGGACCGACAUCAAGAAUGCUUUCUUGCGAAACUUCUUUGAUGAGGCAUGCACUGAAGACUUGAGGAGCAAAAUUGCUACAUUCGCGAAGGAGAUUGGAGAGUCUUUUAAUGAUGCGUGGAUCAGAUUCAAGUUCUUCCAUCGAGACUGUCCACACCACGGAUUCAAUGAAGUGCAACUGCUGAGCACUUUCUUCAGAGGUAUCACCUUGAGGUGUCAGAUGGCUCUUGAUAGAGCUAGCGAGGGAAACUUCAACACCAGGAAUCCGGUCAAGGCUAUGAGACUGAUAGAAAAUCUUGCAAACAGCAGCAACACCAAGAACACUGACUUUGAGAGAAUUAGCUGUAUACAUGGAAGGAGAAGAAGAUGUGAACUACAUUGGAGGUAUUGGAUUUUAGAGGUCUGGAAACCAGGGAGGAAACAAAAACUACUUUGGCAAUGGUCAGAGGAGUAACCAGAGUUCACAGUUCCAGAAACCUUUCAGCAACAACAGCUGAGGCUAUGGAAACUCAUACUACCAAAAUCCACCACCACAGACUCAGGAAAGUAAGAUUGAAGCAAUGCUUGAAAGAGUUCUGGAAGGACAGCAACAACUUACUGUGGAUUUCAAUGGAAAGAUACAUUCUGCCUACAACAGUCUGAACACAAGAUUGAGACCUUAGAGCAUCUCCAAUGUAAAACUCCAUUUUUUUCUUCAAAAUGGAGUAAAAGUGAAAAUUGAGUAAAAUUGCUCCAAUCAUACUCCAUUUUCCACUCUAGAAUGGAGUGAUGAACAAACAAAGAAUAGAUUACUCCAUUUAUGGAGUAAACUUCAUUAUGGAGUGAGAUAUGAAGUUGGGUUAGAGCAUUCCUUACUCCAUAUUCACUUUUACUCCAUUUUAAAAGAAAAAAUGGAGUAUGGAUGGAGAUUCCCUUAGGGACUCAAGCGAGGAAGCUUGAAAUGCAAGUGGCUCAGACUAGAGACACUGUAAAGAGGCAAGAAGCCUUGGCUAGAGAGGUAGGAGUUGAGAAAGCAAAACACCACGUGAAUGCCAUCCUAGAUGAUGAGUUUUGGCAAGUGGUGAAGCAUGAGUAGCUUGGAGAAGGAAACUUCGAAGUUGAAAGCUCCAUGAGCUUCGGCGGAUCAUACUGGUAUCGACCGAUGUCAAUGGAUGCACAUCGAUCGACAGACUAGGAAGAAGAUCGAUCGACAGAUUAUUCUGGACAUCGAUCGACGUCAUCUGCUGAAUCGACUGCGGAGUGUAGUGCAAUUCGAAUCAUGACUCAUGAGGAAUUCGCGGAGAAACACCCUCACCCACCCUCCCCUUUCUACGUCAAAAUGGAUCGACCGCAUGAGCCAGCCAUCAAUAGACAGAGAGAGACCGACAUCGAUCGACUCCCCUCACCUUCCAUCGAUCGGCAGGCACCUCUCACCUACCGAGUGCGAUUGACAUCAAUUGAUAGUAACCGAAUCAACACACUCAAACCACCACCUAAACCUUUAGCAAACCCACCAGAACCUACACCCAACCCUUCAGAUAUUACACCGAGCCUAUACAAGUUGAUGAGGCAACUGAGGGAAGAGUGUUAAGGAAAAGGAAGGAGGAGAUUCCUAAACACCUUAAGAGGGAAGCUACUGAGAAGUAGAUGGAUGGUUUCACUAAGAGAGUCCUCAGAAUCCUAGUGGAGAAACAAUUUGAUGAAGUUUACUACACACAUCGGUUGUGGAUGUUCUUCAGAGAAACCAAGGAGACUGAGGAGGACAUUAGGAGAAUGUUUCAUUACAUCAGGGAAAUGAUGAAACUAAGGAUCACAUUGAAAAAGAAGAGUGAUCCUCGGAAGUUUGCAAUACCAUAUCUGGUAAAAGGUAUUGAAUUUCCCCAUGCACUUUGUGACACAGGAGCAUCAGUCAGUAUUCUACCUAAGGUUAUGGCAGACCAGCUGGGUCUGAAAAUAGAUCGCUCAUCAUAAUCUUUCACCUUCGUGGAUCUUUCAGAAAGGAGCUCAGGAGGCAUCAAAGGAGACCUUAAGGUACAGAUUGGCAAUACCCUUGUCCUAGUAGAUAUUCAUGUCCUGGACAUCAAGCUUAACUGGAACUCUUCACUUCUCCUUGAAAGAGCUUUCUUGGCUACAGUAGAAGCUGUAUGUGACAUGAACACCAACAGAUUAUGUUUGACACUGACGUAGUUCGAGUUGUGAGACAACAUGUCAACCCCGUGGAGCUUGGGAAUGAUCUUGGCUACAUUGCAGCAUGCCAUUGUGGAGCAGAGUACGAAACCGAGUACUCGAAAUCGAUCGACACACAUACUAUCACAUCGAUCGAUUCAAAUGAGUCACCGACGACCAAUGAAUGCUAUCCCACGUCGCUCAACGGGAUGCAAUCGGUAGACCACUACACAUUACUAUAUCAUUACUAUCCAGACUUUGCCUAUCAAAAACCCAACAAGAACGGACGAGAUGACUAUUCCAUAGGCAGUUCGGCAGAUAUUGGAUUCCAUGAAGGUUUUGCAGUGGAGACUGUGAUUCUUUCAUCCAAUGAGGAUCCUACUGAGGAGUAUGAUGAGGAUUACUGGAAGGAAAGAGCUACAGAGAUUGCUAUGCAGGAUGAAAGAUAUUCAACCCAUUCAUUCAACAACACGCCUACACCAUCGAUCGACAGAGUCUACUGAGCAUCGGUCGAUUCCCACCCUCAUCUGGCAAAACGAUCUUCUGCAUCGACCGAUACCACACCUGGUACAUCGAUCGAUAUUAAAGCUGCCGCCUUAGAAAAGGAAAAAGAAAAUAUUUCAAUUCCAAGUAGGUAUACCAAUACCUAUAUAAGGAGAUUUGCACCCCAGAUUACUUCUCACGAAACAGAAGUAGAAAAGAUGAAUGCUCCUACAAAUCAUUCAGAAGGAACAUCCAGGAAGAGCAUUCGAUCAAAAAACCUUAAUUCAGCAGACAAACGUCUACCAUCGAUCGAUACAUCAGUAUCAACAUCGAUCGAUUCUCAUUCUAAACCAAAACUUUCUUUAUCUACUAAGAAAAAUAUGAGUAUUGAUUACGAUUUUCUAUUGCCUGAUGAAUUUGGAAUUUUCAGAGACCAAGAUGGCCAUGCAUGAGCUAUGGAUGGAAGGAUUCUACAGGUAUUCAUAGAGGACAUAGCAGAUAUUCCUGAGUUGGCCAAUGGAGCAGACAACCUGUUUAUGCAGCAACACAGCAUUCCAGACAACAAUCCAGCUGUUCCAGACGAAUAUCCAAGGGCCACAACAACAUGAAUUGGUUCACACCAAACGUGCAGACCUGUUGGCCAAACAUCGAUCGACAAGGUUGCUUCUACAUCUUUCGACAGGGUAACACAACGUCGAUCGAUAAGAAACCUUAAACAUCGAUCGAUUGACGUUAUGAAUGUGGACAUCGCGCUUAUGACAGCUAUUGAGCCAGAAAGUUCAGAUGGAAACAGAAGGACGAAUAUGUAGUCUACAGAGACGAGUUUGGACAUGCAAGAAACGCAGCUGGUGAGAUGAUUCCUGUUACCAAGGACAACAUCAAGAAAAUUCUGGAGAGAGCAUCCCUAUUUGGAGAGAGAGAGUCACAUAUGCCUUCCAGAACAUGCCACUUCCUUCACACCUACAAGACUGGCACCAGAGAUCUACACCAAGGAUGAGAUCAAUGAGAUGGUGACUAGUAUUUGUGGAGCUCAGGAAAAGCUAGGAGAUAAACUCAAGACAUUGGUAGAUGAAACUUAUCAGCCUUUGGACAGAGGUUACAAUGAGUUUUUCAGAAGUAUGGCAGAGAUGAGGACAUAGAUUGAGAGUAUGCAGCACAACCUUGAGAAGGAAGCUACAACAUCAACAUCGAUUGACGCCAACAAAGCACCAUCGAUCGACGUCAAGCCACACACAUCCCAGUUUCCUGCAGAACCGGAAGGUUUGGAAGAGAAGAAGGAUGAAUGGGAAAUCGCAUACAUCAACAUGAGGAUUAACAACGUUUAAAACCCUCUCAACAACAACGAGGACUGGUUGAGCACGAGAAUUGAUCUGCUAAAGCAAGAGAUGGAUACCAUUCGCAUGAAUGAUCCACAACCAGCCAUAUUGAUCGAUAUCUCCAACAUCGCAUCGAUCGACACAAGGUUCGCAGCCAUGGAUGAUAGGUUAAAAUCUUAUGAGGAUAUGCACGACCGUUUCACCUCACUUAUCAUACGAUACUUGGACACCUUGUCUACACAUAAGAUUAAUGUCAAAAGGGACAUUGGUAAGCUUAAUGAUCAACAUGAUUUUCAGGAAGAAAGCUCAACAUCGAUCGAUAGUUCCACAGGACAUCGCUCGACGGCAAAAAACCUACAGAACAUCUUUUCUACACAACAGACGCAGUUGAUCAGAUCACAUCACAACUUUACAAAGCUAUAGACACCUUGGAGGACCGACUUGAGAAGCGAUGUGAUGACAUCUACUUUCCAAUUGAUGUCAAACUCAGUGGACUAGACAGCCAAGCAGAGUGGCUACAGAAGAAAGUCAAAGCCAUUCAGAGAUAACUCGCAUCUCAGCACCAGAUAUCAGCAUCGACCGACAGAGAACACUCCAAAUCGAUCGACAACACUACACCAGCAACGAUCAAUAGACACUUGGUCACAUCGAUCGAUACCAUAUCUACACCAGACGACGCACAACUGAUACCAAACCACAUGGAGUCAAUGCAUGAGAACCUGAACGAGCUAUCAGAAUACACCUACAUCAAGAUAGGAUGGUGUCAGUUCAGCAUUAAAGACAUCCUAGAAAGGCUAAAGAACAUCUCAAAUGCAGUACAAAAGAUGGAUGAGAGAUGGACCAGAAAUGAUGAGGCCAUAAGAAGUUUCAUUGCAGCUUGGUCCAGAAUGUGCAGAGAUGAUGUGGAUGCUUGUUUCCCAACAAGUAGCUGUUUUUCCACCAAGAAGUCAUAUACCUCCUAAGUCAAUCUAAAUGACUAUAACAAAGCGUUGAGUGGGAGGCAACCCACUAUUAGGUAAUUUUAAUUGAUUUUCUUAGUUAUUAGUAUUUAUUUUUGUUUUUAUUCUUUCAGAUUUAUUGCAAAACCCAAGUAGAAUGAUUACCAACAUAUCGACCGUGGACGAGACGUCGACAUCGAUCGACAUUCACUCACACACGACGAUCGAUGCAUACCUAUGCACAUCGAUCGAUUCUCAUUCCGGUCAGGUUUAUCUUCCUAAUUUGUUACAUUUGUACUUAUGAUUUAUUUCCACCAUAACUCCGACUGUGUUACACUAGGACAAUAUAAUUUAAGUCUGGGGGUAGGUUCACUGAUAUGAUUUAUUCUGAUUCUUAUAGAAAGAUUUUAAUAAAUUAUGCUUAGCUAUAUGAAAGGGACUAUGAAUUUAUUACUUGAAUGUCUAACCACUCUUUAGCACCAUUCUAGAUUUACUAAUUGUAGAUAGUACUAAGAUGCUAAAGUGGAUCAACUUGUCAACUAUACACACUUGCCUGGAUUGUUUGAAGGAACCAAAGCUGACCUCCAAUAUUAAACCUGAUAUAACCUCUUGUCUUGAAACUUGGUAUACAUGGGAUCAGAUUCUUCAGAAAAGUCUGGAAGGUAAAGCCUUAUGUAGAUUUAUUUAUCACAAUUUUCUCUCUCUAUUUCGAUCCUAGAGUAGUUAGUUAGUUUAUUUAAAAAAAAAAUCCAAAAUUUAUUGCUUUAUUAGGACUUAGGAUUUAGUUAGGAGGAAUCUGAACAUGACUUAGUGGCUACAACCAUUAAAGCUUGCUUCAUAAAUAUUCCAAAUAAAGAAUUCGAACGGGAUUUGGAGGCGGCAAUCCACAAGGCUCGCUUCACAAAGAAUUCUUGGAUAUAGGUAAAAAAAGAAGUGAACAAGACUUGGUGGCAAACACCAUUAAGUCUUGAUUCAUGGAAGCAUGUCCAAUCUUGGUUACUGAUCCUGCAAUGGAAGCAGACUUUGACUCAAGAGAGAAAUUAGAGAGAGAGAAAUUAGGAACUAACUUUUACCUCUAGUUCCAGAUACUUGUCUGAAAACCCUUGCAUCAUGUGAUCGACACUCCCAAAGUAAAGCAUGCACAUUUAUAUUUAUGCUAAGAAAUAAGGUUAGUAUAGGGGAAUGUCAGACAAGAUUUGCUGAGUUGUAGACUAGUUGAAUUUGGUUGCUAAGCUAGGAUAUUGCAUAAUGUGCUUUUGUAAUUAGGACUUUAGAUGUGGUUUGCGAAAUUGUGGAGGUGAUGAUUUAUGUUUUAUAUCUAUAAGUCACUGCUGUUUUCAAACCUCUUUCAGAGAGACUGCCUGUUUGUUUUGCUUGAGGACAAGCAAAAGGGUAAGUCUGGGAGAGUUGAUAUACCAUGGAUUUGACCCAUUUUUACCCAUGGUAUAUAAGUAUUUUACUAUCUACAUACUAUAUACUCUAUCCUAUUAGGUAUGUUUUGAGGUUCAGAAGUAUCUUGGAGUGAAGUGAUGAUUAUGGAGCAUUUAGGGGCUUAAAAGAGAUUUCAUCCGAGCUGACCAUCAGAGGUCGAUACGAAGAAGAAACAAUCAAUCGAUGCACAUCAAGUGUCGUCGAUCGAUGCAGAAGAGAAGCCUCGAUGAUUGAAGAUUAUGAUCGAUCGAUGUACAUCUUGUACCAUUGCUCGAUGUCGAGAUGCGGAAGCACGAUUUGGUUCCAGCCGACUUUAAACCCAAGACUUCACCAAAUUACAAAAUUACCCCUGAAAAUUUUUUAACCUAAUAGUUAUAUACAUGUCUAAGUGUUAGGAGGCAAGAGAGCUUUUGGCCACCUUUGUAUUCUUAUUUUCAGCAGAGAAGAUCAUAGAGAGAUUUGUGAUUGGAACUACAUUGAUUCAUCUAUUCUAUUCUUUGUAGUUUUAAGUUAUAUUUUGUGUCAUGAAUUGCUUAACUAUGUCUGAGUAGUUUACUUGUUAAAUUCAGGGUUCAAAUAGGUUAGAUGGAUUAGCCCCAACUAUAGAUUGCUAAGUUGUUGUAUUCAUUGAUUGAUUAUUCUUAAUGAUUUUUCUAGAUUAGCUAACUAGAAUAUUGAACCUAGGAAUCUGCAUGAGUCAAGCAUCCUUGACCAUCUAGUCCUGAACCUAAUCUGUCAUACUAGACUAUUGGAAAAAGCUACCGCUGAACUAGAAAGCUAGUGGGCAUUAUCAACGUACGCCUAUUAUCAACUUACGCCUAAGGCUUAACUAGAAGCAUCGAUCGAUAUUGUCUUCUGACAAUCGAAUGAUAUUUGUGAAAGGUGUAUCGAUCGAUAUCCCUAUAGGACCAUCAAUCGACACUUUUUGAGAUCAAUAAACGACAGUUGAGAUCCAAGAUCUAGUUAGUUAACCAGUGAAACAUUGCCAUCGCUGAUCACUGUGUUUAAGGGGUUGAGCUCUAAUAUAUAAUGCAUGCAACUGAUGGGCAUCUAUAGAAUUAUAAUCUCCAACACCUGAAUAGAAACCCAGCAUCUAAUACUUUUCCAAUAAGUUACACCCCCAAAUCAUCUUGUUAGUCGAGCAAUAGACUUGCUCAAUUAGGAUUGCUAUUUACUUUAAAACCAUAAAACAACAAACACUUAGAAUUAAUAAUUUACUAGAUUUAAUAGGUUCCUUAGAUCCUUAUGGAUUUGAUCCCUAAGUACUACAGUUGAACCUCUUAUUUGAAAGAGUAUUUCACUCUUUACGGUAAUUUGAGUGGUAUUAGAUACGUACCUACUUUUUUUUUGUUUUUCUCGAAUUUUCUUUGUUUCUUUGGUCAAACUUGGACUGUAUACCACUAGAGACAAUGUUGUUUAAGUUUAGGGGAGGUAGUCAAUGACAUUGUGUUCUAUUUUUAGUGUUAGUUGAGUCGGCAAGAGUUAAUUCUGUAGUUUUAUUGAAUCAAAAUACAGCCAUUUGUGGACUAUGAUUUUUUUCUUGGAACUAACCACAACCUUAUAUUUUGAGGAUAAAUAAUGUUUGCUAGAACUUGUUGAUCCAAAACUAGGGUCACAUAUUCCGAGAAAGAGGUUUUCAUUAUUUUUUUUAGGCCUGGGCAUUUUACCCGGACCCGAAGACCAGACCCGAAACCGAUCCGAAAAAACCCGGUUCGGAUAGGAACCGACCCGAUCAAAUUACCCUAUCGGGUCUUGUUGUAGAAGACCCGCGGGUCUUGAACCCGACCCGACCCGAACCCGAACAAUGGCCAACACUCUCUGCGCAAGGAACAUGUUCAAAACCCUUGAACCAGAAGACAACAAGCUUUUACCACAAGAUGUUUUCUGUGCGUUGAGGCCAGCUAUUUUGGUUCUUCUUGAAAGUGGUAUUAAAGUUGUUAUUGUAACACUUGGCUCCAAUGGAGCUCUCCUAUGCUCAAAGGGUAAUCCCAAUAAGGCUCUCAACAUAAACAGAAAGUUUAGUGGAGAGAUUUUCAGAAGGGUACAACUUAUAUGUUCACCGAACCGGUUUUCUGAACCGGGAUUGAAGCACGGCUCGAGUCUUUUUGCGAUGCAUUUCCCAACCGUACCAGCCAAAGUCAAGAAGCUUACUGGUGCAGGGGAUUGCCUAGUAGGCGGUACCGUUGCGUCGCUGAGCGAUGGUUUAGAUCUGUUCCAGAGUUUAGCGGUUGGCAUUGCUUCUGCUAAAGCUGCCGUCGAGUCAGAAGAUAAUGUGCCUCCUGAGUUCAACCUCAAUCUUCUUACUGGUAUGGACUAACAAUUCUUGUCUGAAUUAUGUUUUGGUUGGGUCUGAGCCGGUUUACACUUUUGCAUACAGAUGAUGCGGAGUUGGUUUACAGUGGCGCCAGGAUGUUGCUGGCUCAUCAGUCAAUGCUGUGAAGAAUGAUCUUGUUUGUUCUUUUUUUUAUUGUUUGUGUACUAUUCCAUCUAAUAGAUAAACUUAGACCAUUUGUUUAGUAGGACUGCACCAGGUAAUAACAGAGAAACCGCUCUGUUUCUCGUUAGUAUAUAUUAUUACUAAAAUCAGUUUAUGAGAGAUCAUUUUUUCAUGUCUUUGUAGUAACACUAACACGUUAAGUAAUUCUGUUCUCACAUCCAA